GACGAACGCUGGCGGCGUGCUUAACACAUGCAAGUCGAACGGAAAGGCCUGCUUUCCCUUGUGGAUUGCGGGUACUCGCGUGGCGAACGCGUGAGUAACACGUGAGUUAUCUGCCCCCAACUUGGGUAUAAGCUUGGGAAACUGGGUCUAAUUCCCGCUAGGUCCGCAGGGUGGUUCCUGUGGUUGCAAACGAUGUGCUAGUGGUUGGGGAUGGGCGCGCGGCCUAUCAGCUUGUUGGUGGGGUAGUGGCCUACCAGUGCGGCGACGGGUAGGCUGUCAGGGAGGGUGGACGGGCACAGGGGGACGGAGACACGGCCCAGACGCCUACGGGAGGCAGCAGAGGGGAAUAUGGCACGAGGAGCGGAAGACUGAGGGAGCGACGCUGCGUGAGGGAUGACGGCCUUGGGGUUGUGAACUCCGGUCGACAGCGAGGAAGCCACCGGGUUGGAAGGGUGGUGACGGUAGUGGGAGAAGAAGCACCGGCUAACUACGUG
Molecule: ribosomal RNA, 494 nt
Filed under: uncultured bacterium
Lineage: Bacteria
Description: partial 16S ribosomal RNA
Rfam family: Bacterial small subunit ribosomal RNA
Source: RNAcentral